CUGGACCCUUUGGGUCCUAAGCUCUUUCAAUUUUCAGUCCCCAUUCCCUUUCUAUGUGCUGAGUUAAGGCCUUGGCAUGACAGUAUCCUAAUACAUGCCUAUAGGAUUCUGCAUUUUGCUUAUCAUAUAGAAGGCAUGUCUAUAGGGUUUUUGAAUACUAUAUACGUAACUAUCACUAGGAAAAUGAUUUGUAGGCUUAAACAAUAAUCAAUUGCAUUCUAGAUACCAUGCUCGUAGGAUUUCUGCAUUCUUUCCAUGCCUAUAAAAAGUGUUUAAAAUUAACAACGCUAGAAAGCAUGCCUAUCGGAAUUAUCAAUCAAUUCUGAAUCUCCUCACUUGUUUUAGGUUAAUUUGUCAGUAGCAAUGUGUUAUCAACUACAGAAUUUGUGUUAUUCUGUUAAAACUGGCAACCUUUUUGUAACCAGUUUACUUCUUUUCUAAAACCAGUAGAUGCCAUGCCUAUAGGAUUCACCUAGGCAAGCCUUAGAGUAAAAGGUUGUAACUGUAUCACUCUUCAAUAAUUGCAGCCAGGCGAACCUAAUGUGAACUUCUUGUUUGAAAAUAUAUGAUGAACCAGUCCCCUUCAACGGUUAAGUUUAAUUCAGACCUAAUUAGUAUACGUAAUGCUAAAGUACAUGUUUUUCUGUGAUUCUAAGGGAGCUUAUUUGAGCCCCAUAACCAUCCUAUAUGUUUUGUUUGACGCCUUAGAGUUUUGACCUUUCUAAACUCUUGAAAUAGCCCAACUUCCUUCCCUUUAGGAUAGUAGUCCUAAAUUGCCUCCGGGACUGAAAGGAUCGGGGCGAGUAGUAGCAUGCACUAAGUAACCAUACUAUUCCAUAAUUAAAUACCUUAGCAGGGUGGGAAGGGUAGAAUAUGGAUAUGAUGACCCGUGCGCUAAUAUCACGUGCGACCCCUCUUCUGAAGAGUGUUUGCCGGUUAUUGCAUUGAUGUGAUCCAUAUUGUUUACAAACCUAGGACCCCUUUUCCCUUUUACUUAUUUAUCUUUCUCGAAAAAGUUGUUCAAACUAUUUCUCUAAAAAUUCUACUUUCUUUACUUUCUUCAAACUCUCAACUUGCAUGUAAUAUUAUGUGAAAACCCCCUCUACUUGAGACUUCUAUUUUCUUAUUUGUUAUUCAAAGUCACAAUUGUAGCAUGGGCGGGAACCAGACUAGUGGAUCUUGAGGGGUUCCUAAGACCUUCCCCUUAAGAUAAUUUCUUGCCC
Molecule: long non-coding RNA, 1223 nt
Filed under: Nicotiana benthamiana
Lineage: Eukaryota; Viridiplantae; Streptophyta; Magnoliopsida; Solanales; Solanaceae
Description: long non-coding RNA (NBEN_LNC007439)
Source: RNAcentral